This 490-nucleotide ribosomal RNA is filed under the name uncultured bacterium. RNAcentral's name for it is "bacterial SSU rRNA". It matches the Rfam family "Bacterial small subunit ribosomal RNA", at positions 353 to 838 of the family's 1533-position model. The record is from RNAcentral.
AGUAAGGAAUAUUGGUCAAUGGGCGGAAGCCUGAACCAGCCAUGCCGCGUGCAGGAAGACGGCCUUAUGGGUUGUAAACUGCUUUUGUCAGGGAAUAAACCCUCGUUUGCGAACGAGGCUGAAGGUACCUGAAGAAUAAGCAUCGGCUAACUCCGUGCCAGCAGCCGCGGUAAUACGGAGGAUGCGAGCGUUAUCCGGAUUCAUUGGGUUUAAAGGGUGCGCAGGCGGGCGUAUAAGUCAGGGGUGAAAUGCCACGACUCAACCGUGGAACUGCCUUUGAUACUGUAUGUCUUGAGUUUAGUUGAAGUGGGCGGAAUGUAGCAUGUAGCGGUGAAAUGCAUAGAGAUGCUACAGAACACCGAUAGCGAAGGCAGCUCACUAAGUUAAGACUGACGCUCAUGCACGAAAGCGUGGGGAUCAAACAGGAUUAGAUACCCCUGGUAGUCCCACGCUGUAAACGAUGAUCACUCGUUGUUGGCGAUAUACCGUC